GGGGAUCUUUCGAGGUAGAGUGGGUGGGGGGGAGCGGUGGUUGAGUCAUGUUUAUUAUGCACAGAACUUAGGAUGCAAGCACAUACCACGCAGCUGAGGAGGUGAUUUGUCGCAGAGCCAGCGGAGAGAGCUCCGGACUGCGGGAAAGCAUUCAGAGCCUUCCCGCCUCCGACGGGUGCUGGAGGCGUGCAGGCACCAAGCCCCCACUCCGCCUCGCUUACCUCCCCGCUCUCCCCUCCCUGGACUCUCCGCCUGGCGCCCUCCACUGCUUGGCGCCCUGGCUUGCCGCGCCACUACACCCAAUGAACAUAAAAAACUGCUUUCUUGAGAGUUGGAUCAACCAUUGGUCUCGUCCGCUCAAUCUACGGGAGCCUAUCUUUGCAUGCAGGGGAAGUCCCUAACUCACCAAGGGUUUGAGUUCCGUUGGGUACCCUUCACCUGAUUUAGGUGCCAGUUGAAGCCAUUUCCCAGAGAGUGGAUGCUGUUGCAUACUGGGCAGCUUCUAGGAGCCGCAGGUGAGAACUGAAUGUGGACCAAAAGUGGACAAACCACUCCAGAAGGAGCCCGACGUGUCCCCCACCAGAGGCUAAACAUAAGGCAUCGUUUCCAGGCCUUUGACCAUUUUCAUUGCCCUCCUCUGGACACGUUCCAGCUUGUCAGUAUCCUUCUUGAACUGUGGUGC
Non-coding RNA from Zootoca vivipara (common lizard), 682 nucleotides. The record is from RefSeq and is a predicted model, not a curated record. NCBI's taxonomy places the organism in Eukaryota, Metazoa, Chordata, Lepidosauria, Squamata, Lacertidae.